RNAcentral lists this ribosomal RNA (564 nucleotides) under Triticum aestivum (bread wheat). RNAcentral describes it as "partial small subunit ribosomal RNA". Lineage: Eukaryota; Viridiplantae; Streptophyta; Magnoliopsida; Poales; Poaceae. The record is from RNAcentral.
AUGAAGAUUGGCAAGGGCACGGAGCUCCUGAAGAAGGCGGCUUCGACGUGCAAGAACAAGACCAGCGUGCUGGCAGCCAAGCUCCUCGUCCUCGUGUCCCUCCGCCGCCGGAUGGCCACCGUCGGCGCCUUCUCCCACAGGAUCCAUGCGCUUGUGGCUGCCGCUGACCGGGAGAAUGGUGCCAGGGUGGACUGCAACAAGGCUCUCAUGGUGCGCAAGGUCCGGAAGAUGCCAGCGCUCCAUGGUGGUGAGAUUGUUGUUAAUAUCUCUCAUCAACUGGCACUGUUCGAUCAAGGGAAUGAUGGUGAUGGUGGCUGCACUGAUUGGACACUACACCCCAUCUUCAACGACGAUGACAACAACUGUUGUUACACCGACGAGUGCGAGGUUGACGACAAUGAGGAAGAUGGCGAUGAAGGCAUUGACGACCAACCAUCGGUCAUGGAUGUAAUCCGGAACCACAGAGAAGCUGAAGGUUUGGAGUUCAGCAUUGACGGUGAGAUUGAUCAGGCUGCAGAUAUGUUCAUCACCAGGUUUCGGAAGCGGAUGAAUCAGAGCUUCUAG